CAGAACGAACGCUGGCGGCGUGCUUAACACAUGCAAGUCGAACGCGAAAGGGACUUCGGUCCUGAGUAAAGUGGCGCACGGGUGAGUAACGCGUAGAUAACCUGUCUUCAUGUCUGGAAUAAUACGCCGAAAGGGGUACUAAUACCGGAUAUUCUUGCUUUUCAUAAGUUAUGCAAGCAAAGGUGGCCUCUGCAUAUGCUACUGCAUGAAGAGGGGUCUGCGUACCAUUAGCUAGUAGGUGGGGUAAUGGCCUACCUAGGCGACGAUGGUUAGCGGGUCUGAGAGGAUGAUCCGCCACACUGGCACUGGAACACGGGCCAGACUCCUACGGGAGGCAGCAGUGAGGAAUAUUGCGCAAUGGGGGAAACCCUGACGCAGCGACGCCGCGUGAGUGAGGAAGGCCUUCGGGUCGUAAAGCUCUGUCAAGAGGAAAGAAGUGUACAAUGGCUAAUACCUGUUGUAUUUGACGGUACCUCUAAAGGAAGCACCGGCUAACUCCGUGCCAGCCGCCGC
This 513-nucleotide ribosomal RNA is filed under the name uncultured bacterium. Its description in RNAcentral is "bacterial SSU rRNA". It matches the Rfam family "Bacterial small subunit ribosomal RNA", at positions 25 to 518 of the family's 1533-position model. The record is from RNAcentral.